Molecule: long non-coding RNA, 2090 nt
Organism: Triticum aestivum (bread wheat)
Lineage: Eukaryota; Viridiplantae; Streptophyta; Magnoliopsida; Poales; Poaceae
Exons: 2
Source: RefSeq, a predicted model, not a curated record
UUUUUUUUGUUAUAGCUUAUUUUAUUGGAUAUAAUGUUGCUGAAAGUUGUGGACAAAAUGAUACUCGUCAAUUAUGUCCUAGUCACAGUUUAUUCCUGAAUUUGUUUUACUUACUGGGGCUGUAGUUAUAUUAGUUUUCCAUGAAGAGAAAUCAUUGUUGUAGGUACAGAUCAAAGUUAAAAUGACGGGAAAAUGUAAAACAAAAUCAAGCUUAUGUACAGUCUUCUGAUAUAUACUUCUCAUUACUUGAAGCUUGCUUGUAUGAUCGAACUACAAUAGUGUGAUACGGGGUCCAUCAUAUCCUCCUGGCUCCAGCUAUCAUAGGGGACAAGGUAUUUGGUGUGAUACCCUUGGGCUUACAUUUCGACCAAGUAGUUUCGGUUGACAUAUCAUUGUCGAUUGGUGAAGGUAAAUGCCUUAGCUUAUCUUUUCCCUACUUCUCCGCAGGCACUUACAUUUUCGUUUUUGGAUUUAGAUAAUGUUAAUAAUGGAACUGUUGUAGGUCUCUAGCUUCCUAGCUGGAGGUGGUCCAAUUGAAAUUCAACAUGCUUAUAUGAAACCAUUUUUAUUGGCUUAUGUUAACUAAAUGCAAUAAAUUCAGUAUUUUCAUUAAGAUUGCUUGCAAAUUGGCAGAAAUCGAUUGCAUGCUAUUUCUUCUGCAUCUUCAAUAUUUAUUUUGUAAGUAUGUGUGGUAAACUACAUAAUUGCACAUUGGACUAAAUAAAUCACAAAAUAACCAAGAAGCGCUGCUGCUAUGAUUUCACCAAUAUGUGUGUAACGAACAGUUGAAGGGUUGAAGUUUGUUAUGAUUAUAAAGUAUGCAAUACUAAAGCUUAAUGUUAUAUCACUGUGACUUAUGAUUCCACAUUGUAGGGUUUUUAAGUUUCCACCCUAUUACUUUCUGUCAUUCAUCCAUUAUCAUACUUCUGCUUGGUUCGUGUUACUUCUCAUUUUUGCUUGAUUAGAAUAAACAAAUGCUAGGAUUUCUUGGUUUCUAAGAUUGAAGCUGUUUCUGUGGUUAGACACCAUGUGUUUCUCAAAUGUUCAGCUCUAUGCACAGAUACAAGACAGAUGCCCUAGUUGCAUAGCACAAAGGCCUAUACUAGAUUAAGUGCCUACUAACCCUUCCUGUCUUCUCUAGUUCCAUGGGUGUGUGGUGGGCUACUACGCUUUGCCGCCUAAUCGUGGCAGAGUGCAUGACACCAAACUUAUUUUGGAUAAGAAUGCUUCCACCACAAUUUAGUCGAGAAGUGAGGGGAAAAGAGUAUGACAGGCAGAUUUUAUGGCUAGGAAAGUACGGCACACCACAACUUUGAUGGUGAACCAAGGGCAUACCAUGGAAAGUAAAAUUUGGCAGUGAAUCAAACAGGCUCUAUUGGCAUGAUAAAUCAGCACCAAAGUGGUACUGUAACAGUGUCGUUAACAGUCACUGAUGACAGCGCUAAUUCAGGCGAUGAAGUUGUGGAUCAGAGCCGGGGACCCAGAUUUAUCAGCCUUUGAGCACCGUUCCGAUCAAUGCCCUAGCUAAGGGAAUUACAAAAUCCGCCUUAUGGAAGUGGUUAGAAACCAUCCUUCAUGUCCCCAUCUUGAUCGUCCAAUCCAUGCUUUCCAUUUAUCUCACGCGAUCUCUUUUGGAUCAAAAGCUGGAUGUGACUAUUCUAUUCUUAAGCCAUGGUGAUAUCAGAUUUAUUGUGGUACAGUGGCGAUUGUACGAUUCGUGCAGAAUCAGGAGGAACAUAGUGGACUGGACAGAGAUAGACAGCUACAAGCAGUGCCAUGCUGACUCGGACGUGCACUGCGUUGUCCGCCUAUCUGCAAAGCUGCAGCUCCAGGCGAUUCAGUAGCUGGGAAAUUCACAUGAAACAGGAUACAAUUUUCCGCAUACAGCAAUUCAGCUGUUUUGCCUUUUUUUUUGACGGAACUGUUUUGCUUUUUUUGACCUUAUUUAUCUUUCUUUUUUGAGGAAUUGGCAGCUCUAUGCCUAUAUAUUAAGAGGGAUGUAAAGGUAAAUAAGGUCUGUCACAAGAUGAUCUGUAAGCAAUCAGAAAUUGCCACAGGUUUUUUCGAAAGUGAGAUGCCGGUGUGGUGCA